CCGACUAUGAAUAACUUACAAUGAUUCGAUUCUGAAAACUCUUUGACUGAUGAUUCUUUUGCCUGCAGGAUUAUCCACAAGAGCUAGGUUCUUAUAUCUACCGAGACUAGAACAAUAAUUAUUAUGUACUUUUAUAGGAUUUUAAGAAAAAAUAUUUUUCGUCAAACUCAUUAAAAUACAACAAAUAGGUUUAAUCUAUAUUCGUAGGCUUUACAAAGUUCAUGUCUUCUUAAAAUAUUUAAAUUUUUCUUAAACUAGGUAGUUAGGUACCUACUAUAUCUAUCAUAUCUAUUCACUCACAUUCGAUUUUCAAAUAAUAUUUCCAGUUUUUUACAUGUAGGUUUUUUUAUCUAUGACUUAUGAGACAAAAAUAACGAUAAGCCAACUCAUAAAUAGACAGCUAAAAUAUACACCAAAAUAGCGACUAGCAUUGACUUUCGUGUAGGUAGAUAGUUACCUAUUUGAUAUUUAAGUGCAUUAAAUCUUUUUUUUUUUCUGUAUAACUAUAGAAGUCUAUAUCUAAGCAUACCAUAAAGCUAUGGUAACGGGGCGCAAUUUUUUAAAGUAAUCUAUAACUUAUAUCUAAUCAAUACCUUAA
Maniola jurtina (meadow brown) is the source of this 598-nucleotide long non-coding RNA. RefSeq lists it as uncharacterized. NCBI's taxonomy places the organism in Eukaryota, Metazoa, Arthropoda, Insecta, Lepidoptera, Nymphalidae. The record is from RefSeq and is a predicted model, not a curated record. The transcript has 2 exons.